This is an RNA transcript of Plodia interpunctella (Indianmeal moth), 5815 nucleotides long. It is a transcript of the gene named Myosin-7a binding protein, with no coding region annotated. The record is from RefSeq and is a predicted model, not a curated record. The transcript has 16 exons. NCBI's taxonomy places the organism in Eukaryota, Metazoa, Arthropoda, Insecta, Lepidoptera, Pyralidae.
ACCGGUCAUGUGCGCUCGUCUCCGAGACGCUCGCGAAAGCAUAACUCGAACUAAUUCAAAAGUCAUUAUAACUCGAAUUGUUUAAAAAGUUUGUGGACAUUUUGGUGAAGUGUUUGUUGUGAAUGUGCAUUUUUUAUGCUUUCUAAUGUGCAUCGGUAAGGCGUUCAAGUGAAAUUGAAGGCACCGGGAAUUUUACUUGUCUUAGAGUAUUUACUUUACGGAUAAUUAAACAAAGACAAUGAAUACUGAAAUCAGUGAUACUAGUUACACAAUAUAUGCCUGAUUUUUCUGCUGUGCUAAAAAUUGCUAAUAGAGAUUAUGAAAUUAUAAAGUGAAAAGUGUUAAAGAGCUGAAGUGACAGUUGUGUGCUAGAAAGAGACAACAUGCCUGAUACUCUGUCCCUGUCUGCUGGAGUUAGUUUGGGACUGCUGGCCGGGAUAGUGUCUGGAGUGUGCUACCUCGUCGCUAAUGGACUUGCCUGGACUAAGCCUGACGACCGCCAUCGGCGAUGUCUGCCGUCGCCAGAUGACGGCGUCUGCUUCAAGUGCGGCGGCGACACACGAGGUGGACUGGUGCCUUGCAUCUGCAGACCAAAGCCACUGAAGUUCGAAUCUGGCGCGUGGUUUCUGCACCAAGUGCAGCGCGCCGUUAGCCUCAUGCCCUGGAGUCUCAGCACGGACAAGCUGGAGCAAAUCGAUGAGGAGUACGAGGGCCGGGAGAGCCCUGGCCCGAGCGACACUCACGAACUGCGCAAUGUCCGGGAGUUCCUCGAGACACUGUCUGCCAAGCUGGCUGGAGGACCUUUGGAAGGCACCAGGGUUGCGCCACUCUAUGACCAUCCUGCCUAUGAGCGCAUGUUCGAGCGUCACCACGGAGCCCUGCGCGGCACUCUCGCAGCCCUAUCAACAGCGCUACGAGACGCGCUCACACAUCUGCCAGCAUCCCGCCGCGGUUCCCAAUCAAGCGCUUCCACCGCACACCCCAGCGGUGCAAGCGGAGCCCAUGUCCAUCUCAAGCGCCUCGUAGCGAGGGUAGUGGAGGAGGCUGCAGCGCUUCCAGCACUCGCUAGAUACGCUGCAGAACCGCCGCGCACACCAACUUUGGAGUCGUCUACGUAUGAAGAUUUGCUGGCUACCGCUAUUUUGAAUAAGGUCAUCGAACGCUACCAGACUGAGAAUGGGUCCGGAGGUCGCAGCAGCGGCAUCCACUCCGCGAGCGCCAGUCCCACGCCGUCAGAGCGCUCAUCACCCAGGUCUCUCAACUCUAGGCACUUGAGGGACACCACUCCACCUCUUCGCGAGGUAGAUGUGUCUGACUGGGAAGAAGGGGAUGUCUCAGAAGAUGUGGCGGAGCUGCCGCGACGAGUGCCAUUCCCCGAGUUCGGAGGGGACAUAGUUCAUCAAGCUACUGAAAACGAAGACCGCGACUUCGAUGAAGUUUCCGGUAGCGAUAUACAAGCGGUCGACGGCAGCUGGGAGGAGAACUGGCUUUUCCAAAAGAAAAAGAUUAAAACAAUUCAAUCAGUCCCAGUGCCAAUGCUAGUUCCGAACAGCAACACCGAAUACAGAGUCCUCAUUGGGGACAGAGACGCUGAUGAUACUACAGAUCUGUCGGAUAAUGCUAGUGAUGCUGAAGAAGAUGCAGAAUACAAAAGCGAUAUCAAAAGGGUUCUAGACUCAAAACACUUAAUAGGCGGAAAAACGAAAAUCGACGAAGAAGAUUUUGAACCAGACAGUCUCACCAUCAUAGACGGCAAUGAUGAUUUUGAGAAAAGCAACGAUUUCGAAUUCCAAGAUAAGCAAGUACUAGAUGCGGUAAAUAAUGAUAUAAAUGAUAACAAAAUUAAGGAAAAUGGAAAUGACUCUGUUAUGAUACUUGACAUAGACAGUGGACCAUUGUCAAAAGCAGAAUUCAAUUUAAAAGAGGAAAUACAUAGGACAUUGCUCAAUGGAAAUGGAGAAUUUGUUAAUAUUGAUGAAUUGAACAGCAUUACAAGCGACGUAAACAAAGAUGUCGUAGACGUUUUCACAAGUGCAAAAGGGUCAACGAACACAUUAGCGAGUCGCCAUGAAAGGGAAGGCGAAUAUGAAGAGACUGUAGCAAGGCCGGUCCAAAGAUAUGCCGAUAGUCUUAGACGGCAGCAUUUCCACGACGAACCACAAGAAAUUCCAACUAGAGAUACUGACAAGGAAGAUGACCUUAUACCAGGUUCAAUAGCAUAUAGAGAGCGUAAAAAAUGGCUCAACUAUGUAGAAAUGCCCAAUAAUCCAUAUUCACCCGAAGCUAUACAAAAGAGGCUGAUGACUAAAAGUACAUCCUCCUUAUUUGAUAUACUUACUACCAAAACAAACGAUUUAAACGAUGAGAAUGAGACAGAUAUAUCGAAGGAUGUUCCAGAUCCUAAAACAUCACUAAACGAAGAGGCUUCUGUAAAAGAAGUUAAAGAAAAUGGACACACCUUAAAUGUUAACGGGAAUGUUAAUAUGAAUGGUAGGAGAUCUAAAAGUCCGUCACCUAAGUUAUUAAAGAAUGUAUUGGCUGAGGAAAUACCUCCAUACAAACGAUACGACAGAGAUUAUUAUAUAAGGGAAGCCAAAUCUUCAGCGGGAAGUCGUAAGAAGAAUAAUUUCAGCGACACAAGUUCCCUUUCGUCGAUGAAUAAAUCGAUCAGUUUAGAUAAUUUCGAUACAGAGUUAUCUCCUGUAAGUGCUAGCAGUUCGUUGAGCGACCUCGAGGCCUCAGCCCUUCAUCAAAACAUCGUCCGUGCCUUUCUAAGUCCACGAAAUGGAAGCCCCAACUUUGCAAUAAAUCCUAUUUUUGAAAACCCCGACAAACAGAACGAUAAUGACGAAAAUCAUAUGACAGACAAUCGUAAUGUUAGUCGAUAUGCCAACGUAAGAGAACAAAGUACAACUGCGUGCGAUGAAGGUGACGGUUAUGUGGAAAACGAGGAUAUAGUUAGACUAAAAAUACCAAAUAAGCCUGAAAUCACCGAAGAUCUAUUCGAGAGUUAUGACGAUGUUAGGCGGAACAACACUCUAAGAAGCGAAGACCUGUGCGUCCGCGCCAAACGGCACACGGGUCUCAAUUAUACAUUCGGCGGAAGCUUAAGGCUAAGCAAAGGUUUCCGUAACGACCUCUGGUGAAAAAUUCCCGUAAAUUUCAAAAACAUUUAUUUCACCUUCAAUCUAAGCACUCAUACUGACAAUGUAAUAGAUCCUACCGAAGUCUAAACUCUAUGUAAUAUAUGAAUCUCUUUGACUAUGUACGAUACAUACAUAGAUACCCAGAUUGGUCAUAUUAAUAAUAAUUCUAUAAACCACCUUCAAUAAAAUAUUUUAAGUGGUGUAAGGAACUGUAAUCAUAACUAAACCGUCCACAAAAUCUAAAAUAUCUUCGUUUUGACACACGAGCCUGUGUGUGUUUAAGUUGGCAUGUUUUGUUUUAAAUAUGAAACCGCAGACUAACAUCACUCUGCACUUAUAAAUAGGAGAGUAUCUCUUAGUCUUGCACUAGAUUUGUGUCCUUCCUAAUAAAUAUUUUCAGUACUAUAAUUACAGUAAUCCUCCAAGAAGUUAGUGGGAUUACUUAUAAAGCAAAUCAAUACGAUUGCUGCAAACCAAGAGUAUACGAAGUUUGCUAAAGACCAACCUAAGGAAUCCAUAACAAUAACAACAAGUAGUAAUAAAACGGAGAUAUUAAUAGAAUACGAUGACGACACUCAUGAACAAACACUAUUUUCUGCUAAACCUGUAUAUGUAGAUGAUGACACUGAUCAACGUUUUGAAGAGAUAAUGCAAGAUGCUUAUGCAACAGGGGAUACUGAAAUAAAAAUAAAUAAUGAACCUAUAAAAUCACCAACUAAUGUAAGCGUAGAUAAUUCUUACAUAAGCACGAGUAGUUUAGAAGACUCAAUUAAGAUCUACAACGUGCAAACAGGCGAGAUAGUGAAGUGCCAGCCGGAAGAUAAGUUAUCACAAUUCGAGGUAACUGACAAAAAAGACAACAUCGACAUUGUAGAUAAGACACCAGAAGAAACAGAGUCUAGUGUAAGUGAAAACGUAGACGAUGAAUUAGUGACGAUCGUUGAAAAAUCUCAAGAAACAGAAAUAACAGAUGAAGAAACAAUUAAAGAAUUAGAAAGGAUUAGUGAAGUGGAAGAAAUAUUAGCGCAGUUACCUAAAGUGAAGGAAUUGGCGAAGAAAUUUGUUAGCAUGGAUAACAUACACGAACCGGUCAAGCUACCACAACCAGUCUUCAAGCGUCGAAAGAGCAAAGACAACCUUUUAAACUCAGAAAAAUCGAGCAAAGUCUACAUGCACAGUUUAACGGCCAGAAGUAUUUCCAAAGAGUUUAGAGAGGAACUCAAAAUGUCUAUGGCCACCCCUCUCACCGUUCCCGGGGGGUCCAAGGAGAUUCCCGAGGGAGAAGAGGUCACCAAGGAAUCCAGCAGGCCAGGCAGCCCCUUACCAGAACCGGGUACAAUCAAGACGAAACUGGCGUUUUUCGAAAGUCUCAAAUCUAAGUUUAGUACCAAAUAGUAUAUUAGUGUUCUUACUUUCAAUUUCGGUUUACUCUUCUAAAAAUAUGCGCAAGAAUCUGUUUACAGUAAGAAAGUUGCGUUAUUUAAUAGGGCAAUCUUGUGUGAUUUUUCAAAGCGUAAAUCAGUAUUUAUAUUUGUAUGUUAUCUGUCGGUGUAUUUAAAACAAGUCUCCACAUCAGGUCCAAACGGUCGCUAGUUAAAUUUCAAGUUAGUCGCCACUGUCCUCUACCACAUGUAUCAAAGUUGUAUCUAAAUGGUCAUUUUCGAGAUUUGAAUCAUCUGAUAAUACCUAUGUAUGUAAGAUAGGAAAUACCUAUCUGCACGUAUCACCAUUCCCUGUCAAUGACUAAUAAGUAAAAUAACAACUUUUAUUGAUAAGUCUCAAUUGACUUACAUAUUUCAGUGUUUUCCAAAAUGUCUCAUCUAGAUGUCACUAUUUAUCGCUUCUGAUCUGUAUUUAUCUCAUUACUCUCUUCCGGUAAAUGUAUUUUAAUAUAUAAUUUUUACUUUUAAUUAAUACUUAACUUUUAUGAUUCUAUACAUUUAUUUCACUGCUUACAGUCAGUUAUCAAGUUCAAAUUACAUCACAUUUUCCAAUUUGCCAAUAUGAUCUACUCGUAUACUAUCGACGAAAGCGGACGCGAAUGUGUGCCGAAUCCGUUCGAAGUUCGGCGAACUUUUCCGCGAUAGUGUGGAGCCGGCAUGAAAUUGAUCGAUCACAAUAAUACUACUACAUUGACAGAGAAAUAUCAACAUCUACAGAUUGCUAGCAUUUCCGAAUCAAUAUGGUCCAUUAUAUUGAAAUUAUUUCUUGAGGAUAACUAAAAAAUAAUAGAAUUGUCAAAAUGCAAUUAAAUAAACUACUAUUUGUUUACAUAGUAAACAAUUCACGUAGUUUGUUCACAUAGCACAUAAAAAAUACAUUUUUAUUUCCUUUUUUUUUUUUAAUUUUGUGGACGAGUUAUUGUAUAUAAUUAUUUAAUUAGGAUAUGUUGUAAAUAUAUAGUGCCAUUUCGUCAUUUUCAUCUUAUAUAUAAAUUAAUUUAGUAAACGCCAAAAUUGUAAAUAACAUUAUAAUUUCUAUUGGUUGGGUCCAUAAAAUAAAAUCUUAAUUACGUGUAAAUUCGGUUUAAGAUGUGCAAUAGUUGAUUCCCUAGAUUCAGCUAAAGUUAAUGUGAUAUAAUAAAAAUAGCUAUGAAUGAUUUAAGAUAUAAUGUACCUAUUUGUCAAUAAACAUUUUAAUAAAAUACAAGAAUAUUGAAGUAAACAUUU